This 497-nucleotide ribosomal RNA is filed under the name uncultured bacterium. RNAcentral describes it as "partial 16S ribosomal RNA". It matches the Rfam family "Bacterial small subunit ribosomal RNA", at positions 28 to 507 of the family's 1533-position model. The record is from RNAcentral.
GAUGAACGCUGGCGGCGUGCCUAAUACAUGCAAGUCGAGCGAACGGACGAGAAGCUUUCUUCUCUGAUGUUAGCGGCGGACGGGUGAGUAACACGUGGAUAACCUACCUAUAAGACUGGGAUAACUUCGGGAAACCGUAGCUAAUACCGGAUAAUAUUUUGAACCGCAUGGUUCAAUAGUGAAAGACGGUCUUGCUGUCACUUAUAGAUGGAUCCGCGCUGCAUUAGCUAGUUGGUAAGGUAACGGCUUACCAAGGCAACGAUGCAUAGCCGACCUGAGAGGGUGAUCGGACACACUGGAACUGAGACACGGUCCAGACUCCUACGGGAGGCAGCAGUAGGGAAUCUUCCGCAAUGGGCGAAAGCCUGACGGAGCAACGCCGCGUGAGUGAUGAAGGUCUUCGGAUCGUAAAACUCUGUUAUUAGGGAAGAAAAUAUGUGUAAGUAACUGUGCACAUCUUGACGGUACCUAAUCAGAAAGCAACGGCUAACUACGUG